UACUGGCAUUCCCUAGUAGCGGCGAGCGAAGCGGGAAGAGCUCAAAUUUAUAAUCUGGCACCUUCGGUGUCCGAGUUGUAAUCUCUAGAAAUGUUUUCCGCGUUGGACCGCACACAAGUCUGUUGGAAUACAGCGGCAUAGUGGUGAGACCCCCGUAUAUGGUGCGGACGCCCAGCGCUUUGUGAUACAUUUUCGAAGAGUCGAGUUGUUUGGGAAUGCAGCUCAAAUUGGGUGGUAAAUUCCAUCUAAAGCUAAAUAUUGGCGAGAGACCGAUAGCGAACAAGUACCGUGAGGGAAAGAUGAAAAGCACUUUGGAAAGAGAGUUAACAGUACGUGAAAUUGUUGGAAGGGAAACGCUUGAAGUCAGACUUGCUUGCCGAGCAAUCGGUUUGCAGGCCAGCAUCAGUUUUCCGGGAUGGAUAAUGGUAGAGAGAAGGUAGCAGUUUCGGCUGUGUUAUAGCUCUCUGCUGGAUACAUCUUGGGGGACUGAGGAACGCAGUGUGCCUUUGGCGGGGGUUUCGACCUCUUCACACUUAGGAUGCUGGUGGAAUGGCUUUAAACGACCCGUCUUGAACCACCCGGACCCAAA
This 589-nucleotide ribosomal RNA is filed under the name Rhodotorula mucilaginosa. RNAcentral's name for it is "eukaryotic LSU rRNA". It matches the Rfam family "Eukaryotic large subunit ribosomal RNA", at positions 67 to 671 of the family's 3401-position model. Lineage: Eukaryota; Fungi; Basidiomycota; Microbotryomycetes; Sporidiobolales; Sporidiobolaceae. The record is from RNAcentral.